This 809-nucleotide ribosomal RNA is filed under the name uncultured archaeon. RNAcentral's name for it is "bacterial SSU rRNA". It matches the Rfam family "Archaeal small subunit ribosomal RNA", at positions 85 to 876 of the family's 1478-position model. The record is from RNAcentral.
ACGGCUCAGUAACACGUGGCUAAUCUGCCCUUGGGAUAGGAACAACCCCGGGAAACUGGGGCUAAUUCCCAAUAGGCGAAGAACUCUGGAAUGAGUCUUUACCAGAAAAGACGCUUGCGUUACGCUCGUAGGCGUCGCCCAAGGAUGAGGCCGCGACCGAUCAGGUUGUUGGUGAGGUAAUGGCUCACCAAGCCUUUUACCGGUGCGGGCCGUGAGAGCGGGAGCCCGGAGAUGGGCACUGAGACAAGGGCCCAGGCCCUACGGGGCGCAGCAGUCGCGAAAACUUUGCAAUAAGCGAAAGCUUGACAGGGCUAUCCCGAGUGCCAUCCGCUGAGGAAGGCUUUUACCCAGUCUAGAACGCUGGGGGAAUAAGGAGAGGGCAAGUCUGGUGUCAGCCGCCGCGGUAAUACCAGCUCUCCGAGUGGUGUGGAUGUUUAUUGGGCCUAAAGCAUCCGUAGCUGGCUAAGUUAGUCCCUUGUUAAAUCCACCGAAUUAAUCGUUGGAUUGCGGGGGAUACUGCUUGGCUAGGGGACGAGAGAGGCAGACGGUAUUUCCGGGGUAGGGGUGAAAUCCUAUAAUCCCGGGAAGACCACCAGUGGCGAAGGCUGUCUGCUAGAACGCGCCCGACGGUGAGGGAUGAAAGCUGGGGGAGCGAACCGGAUUAGAUACCCGGGUAGUCCCAGCUGUAAACGAUGCAGGCUAGGUGUUUGGACGGCCACGUGCCGUUCUAGUGCCGCAGGGAAGCUGUUAAGCCUGCCGCCUGGGGAGUACGAUCGCAAGAUUGAAACUUAAAGGAAUUGGCGGGGGAG